This 271-nucleotide ribosomal RNA is filed under the name uncultured bacterium. RNAcentral's name for it is "partial 16S ribosomal RNA". It matches the Rfam family "Bacterial small subunit ribosomal RNA", at positions 524 to 794 of the family's 1533-position model. The record is from RNAcentral.
UACGUAGGGUGCAAGCGUUAAUCGGAAUUACUGGGCGUGAAGCGUGCGCAGGCGGUUGUGUAAGUCUGUCGUGAAAUCCCCGGGCUCAACCUGGGAAUUGCGAUGGAGACUGCACGGCUAGAGUGUGUCAGAGGGGGGUAGAAUUCCACGUGUAGCAGUGAAAUGCGUAGAUAUGUGGAGGAACACCGAUGGCGAAGGCAGCCCCCUGGGAUAACACUGACGCUCAUGCACGAAAGCGUGGGGAGCAAACAGGAUUAGAAACCCCUGUAGU